Molecule: ribosomal RNA, 161 nt
Filed under: uncultured bacterium
Lineage: Bacteria
Description: partial 16S ribosomal RNA
Rfam family: Bacterial small subunit ribosomal RNA
Source: RNAcentral
GGAAUCUUCCACAAUGGGCGCAAGCCUGAUGGAGCAACGCCGCGUGUGUGAUGAGGGCUUUCGGGUCGUAAAGCACUGUUGUAUGGGAAGAACAGCUAGAAUAGGAAAUGAUUUUAGUUUGACGGUACCAUACCAGAAAGGGACGGCUAAAUACGUGUCAG